RNAcentral lists this ribosomal RNA (323 nucleotides) under uncultured Actinomycetes bacterium. RNAcentral's name for it is "bacterial SSU rRNA". It matches the Rfam family "Bacterial small subunit ribosomal RNA", at positions 28 to 351 of the family's 1533-position model. Lineage: Bacteria; Bacillati; Actinomycetota; Actinomycetes. The record is from RNAcentral.
GACGAACGCUGGCGGCGUGCUUAACACAUGCAAGUCGAACGAUGAUGCCCAGCUUGCUGGGCGGAUUAGUGGCGAACGGGUGAGUAACACGUGGGUGAUCUGCCCUGCACUUCGGGAUAAGCCUGGGAAACUGGGUCUAAUACCGGAUAUGACCACAGGAUGCAUGUUUUGUGGUGGAAAGGUUUACUGGUGCAGGAUGAGCCCGCGGCCUAUCAGCUUGUUGGUGGGGUAAUGGCCUACCAAGGCGACGACGGGUAGCCGGCCUGAGAGGGCGACCGGCCACACUGGGACUGAGACACGGCCCAGACUCCUACGGGUGGCUG